Molecule: ribosomal RNA, 292 nt
Filed under: uncultured bacterium
Lineage: Bacteria
Description: partial 16S ribosomal RNA
Rfam family: Bacterial small subunit ribosomal RNA
Source: RNAcentral
GUGUCAGCAGCCGCGGUAAUACGGGGGGGGCAAGCGUUGUUCGGAAUUACUGGGCGUAAAGGGUUCGUAGGUGGCCCACUAAGUCAGACGUGAAAUCCCUCAGCUUAACUGGGGAACUGCGUCUGAUACUGGAGGGCUCGAGGACAGGAGAGGAACGCGGAAUUCCAGGUGUAGCGGUGAAAUGCGUAGAUAUCUGGAGGAACACCGGUGGCGAAGGCGGCGUUCUGGACUGUUUCUGACACUGAGGAACGAAAGCCAGGGGAGCAAACGGGAUUAGAAACCCCGGUAGUCC